UGCUCAGGACGAACGCUGGCGGCGUGCUUAACACAUGCAAGUCGAACGAUGAAAGAGGGAGCUUGCUUUCUCUGGAUUAGUGGCGAACGGGUGAGUAACACGUGAGCAAUCUGCCCUUGACUCUGGGAUAAGCGUUGGAAACGACGUCUAAUACCGGAUACGAACUUCAGCCGCAUGGCUAGGGGUUGGAAAGAAUUUCGGUCAAGGAUGAGCUCGCGGCCUAUCAGCUUGUUGGUGAGGUAAUGGCUCACCAAGGCGACGACGGGUAGCCGGCCUGAGAGGGUGACCGGCCACACUGGGACUGAGACACGGCCCAGACUCCUACGGGAGGCAGCAGUGGGGAAUAUUGCACAAUGGGCGCAAGCCUGAUGCAGCAACGCCGCGUGAGGGACGACGGCCUUCGGGUUGUAAACCUCUUUUAGCAGGGAAGAAGCGCAAGUGACGGUACCUGCAGAAAAAGCACCGGCUAACUACGUGCCAGCAGCCGCGGUAAUACGUAGGGUGCAAGCGUUGUCCGGAAUUAUUGGGCGUAAAGAGCUCGUAGGCGGUUUGUCGCGUCUGCUGUGAAAUCCCGAGGCUCAACCUCGGGCCUGCAGUGGGUACGGGCAGACUAGAGUGCGGUAGGGGAGAUUGGAAUUCCUGGUGUAGCGGUGGAAUGCGCAGAUAUCAGGAGGAACACCGAUGGCGAAGGCAGAUCUCUGGGCCGUAACUGACGCUGAGGAGCGAAAGCGUGGGGAGCGAACAGGAUUAGAUACCCUGGUAGUCCACGCCGUAAACGUUGGGAACUAGAUGUGGGGACCAUUCCACGGUCUCCGUGUCGCAGCUAACGCAUUAAGU
RNAcentral lists this ribosomal RNA (837 nucleotides) under Microbacteriaceae bacterium. RNAcentral describes it as "bacterial SSU rRNA". It matches the Rfam family "Bacterial small subunit ribosomal RNA", at positions 21 to 865 of the family's 1533-position model. The record is from RNAcentral. Lineage: Bacteria; Bacillati; Actinomycetota; Actinomycetes; Micrococcales; Microbacteriaceae.